Pan paniscus (pygmy chimpanzee) is the source of this 566-nucleotide long non-coding RNA. Lineage: Eukaryota; Metazoa; Chordata; Mammalia; Primates; Hominidae. The record is from Ensembl.
GCCUUGUAAACAACAAUCAAUUUCAUGUAGGUGUCCACACAAAGUGGUUGUGAGUCAUGGUUAAGUGAUUGUGACAUGUCUGAAAGGCAAACUUAUGUCACAGGAAAGAAGAGCUCUCUGGAUAGAUGGUUCCCUACAGUUUUGUAAAGACAUCUGGAAACUUUGAUCUGGGAGACACCACAUCACAGAGAAAUUGUUAUCGUCUGAGAGCACACUGGAUGUCAAAGAUAAACUGGAGUUUCAAUCUUGCUAUCUUAACAAGAACAGAGGGAGAACAAAGAAUAAAACAAGAAAAUAAAGCUGACUAUAUUAAAAGAACAGAGUAGAAUAAUGUUCAGUGUGAUGGGCAACUUGAACAAUUAAAUGAAAAUAAAUUCAAGAUUAACCGUCGAAGAGCUUUAAGAGAUUUUGAGACUCAGGUAAUGAGCCAUAAAGGUUAGUAAUCCAGUCUUUUUAGUGGUUUUUGGGAUAUUUAUGGACCUAUAUUUGCUUCCACUCUCUGAAAAAAGAAUGGGAAAAAUAAACAUAUUAUUCAUUGUGAAUGACUUCAUUAAUAUAAAGGGGGA